This 250-nucleotide ribosomal RNA is filed under the name uncultured bacterium. RNAcentral describes it as "partial 16S ribosomal RNA". It matches the Rfam family "Bacterial small subunit ribosomal RNA", at positions 525 to 772 of the family's 1533-position model. The record is from RNAcentral.
ACGGAGGUGGCAAGCGUUGUUCGGAAUUACUGGGCGUAAAGGGCGCGUAGGCGGAAUCGUAGGUCCGAUGUGAAAGUGCUACCGCUUAACGGAGCAAAGCCAUCGGAAACCGCGUUUCUUGAGACCGGGAGAGGUGAGUGGAAUUGCCAGUGUAGCGGUGGAAUGUGUAGAUAUUGGCAAGAACACCGGUGGCGAAGGCGGCUCACUGGCCCGGUUCUGACGCUGAGAGCGCGAAAGCGUGGGGAGCGAA